UACGAAGGGGGCUAGCGUUGCUCGGAAUCACUGGGCGUAAAGCGCACGUAGGCGGAUCUUUAAGUCAGGGGUGAAAUCCUGGAGCUCAACUCCAGAACUGCCUUUGAUACUGGGGAUCUCGAGUCCGGAAGAGGUGAGUGGAACUCCGAGUGCAGAGGUGAAAUUCGUAGAUAUUCGGAAGAACACCAGUGGCGAAGGCGGCUCACUGGUCCGGUACUGACGCUGAGGUGCGAAAGCGUGGGGAGCAAACAGG
This 253-nucleotide ribosomal RNA is filed under the name uncultured bacterium. RNAcentral describes it as "partial 16S ribosomal RNA". It matches the Rfam family "Bacterial small subunit ribosomal RNA", at positions 524 to 776 of the family's 1533-position model. The record is from RNAcentral.